AGAGUUUGAUCCUGGCUCAGGAUGAACGCUGGCGGCGUGCCUAAUACAUGCAAGUCGAACGCACAGCGAAAGGUGCUUGCACCUUUCAAGUGAGAGGCGAACGGGUGAGUAACACGUGGAUAACCUACCUCAAGGUUGGGGAUAACAUUUGGAAACAGAUGCUAAUACCGAAUAAAACUUCGUAUCGCAUGAUACAAGGUUAAAAGGCGCUACGGCGUCACCUAGAGAUGGAUCCGCGGUGCAUUAGUUAGUUGGUGGGGUAAAGGCCUACCAAGACAAUGAUGCAUAGCCGAGUUGAGAGACUGAUCGGCCACAUUGGGACUGAGACACGGCCCAAACUCCUACGGGAGGCUGCAGUAGGGAAUCUUCCACAAUGGGCGAAAGCCUGAUGGAGCAACGCCGCGUGUGUGAUGAAGGCUUUCGGGUCGUAAAGCACUGUUGUAUGGGAAGAACAGCUAGAGUAGGGAAUGACUUUAGUUUGACGGUACCAUACCAGAAAGGGACGGCUAAAUACGUGCCAGCAGCCGCGGUAAUACGUAUGUCCCGAGCGUUAUCCGGAUUUAUUGGGCGUAAAGCGAGCGCAGACGGUUGAUUAAGUCUGAUGUUGAAAAGCCCGGAGCUCAACUCCGGAAAGGCAUUGGAAACUGGUCAACUUGAGUGCAGUAAAGGUAAGUGGAACUCCAUGUGUAGCGGUGGAAUGCGUAAAUAUAGGAAGACACCCAGCGGCGAAGGCGGCAUAGUGGACUGAAAAUGACGUGAGGCCUAGAAAGUGUGGGUAGCAAACAGGAUUUAGAUACCUAGGUAGUCCACACCAUAAACGAUGAACACUAGGUGUUUAGGAGGUUUCCGCCUUUAAGUGCCGAAGCUAACGCAUUAAGUGUUCCGCCUGGGGAGUACGACCGCAAGGUUGAAACUCAAAGGAAUUGACGGGGACCCGCACAAGCGGUGGAGCAUGUGGUUUAAUUCGAAGCAACGCAAAGAACCUUACCAGGUCUUGACAUCCUUUGAAGCUUUUAGAGAUAGAAGUGUUCUCUUCGGAGACAAAGUGACAGGUGGUGCAUGGUCGUCGUCAGCUCGUGUCGUGAGAUGUUGGGUUAAGUCCCGCAACGAGCGCAACCCUUAUUGUUAGUUGCCAGCAUUCAGAUGGGCACUCUAGCGAGACUGCCGGUGACAAACCGGAGGAAGGCGGGGACGACGUCAGAUCAUCAUGCCCCUUAUGACCUGGGCUACACACGUGCUACAAUGGCGUAUACAACGAGUUGCCAACCUGUGAAGGUGAGCUAAUCUCUUAAAGUACGUCUCAGUUCGGACUGCAGUCUGCAACUCGACUGCACGAAGUCGGAAUCGCUAGUAAUCGCGGAUCAGCACGCCGCGGUGAAUACGUUCCCGGGUCUUGCACUCACCGCCCGUCA
Molecule: ribosomal RNA, 1412 nt
Filed under: uncultured bacterium
Lineage: Bacteria
Description: bacterial SSU rRNA
Rfam family: Bacterial small subunit ribosomal RNA
Source: RNAcentral